CACCAACAUGUUGUAUUUACGAGGCCCACUUGGGGCCAUAUAAGCUGAUCUUGAAAGAACCGUGGGGCCUUGUCAUCCAUUUUACAGAUUGGAAGAGUGAGGCCCAGAGUGGGGGACUUGCUCAUGGCCAUACAAAUUGAAAUUGGAUGGGCAGAGACUUAACAUUACCUAAUUAAAUAAUCACAUUAAUGUGGACCCACUAAUAGACGGAUACCCCAGAGGAAGAGACAGAGCUGUCUUCAGAAGUGACACUUACACUGAGAUCUGAAAGAGAAGUAGAAGGUAAUCAGGCCAAAAGUCAGGAAGGGGUUUACAGAAAUGUUUAGGAAGAGGGAACAGCAGGUGCAAAAGCCCUGUGUUGGCAGAAGCCACAAGAAGAUCAGUGUGGCCGAAAGAAAAAAGGGAGGAUGUCACUGAUACAGAAGAUAGCCAGGACCUGAUUGUGCAUGUCUUUGCUCCCGUCAUGCAAUAAGGAGCGUCCGGGACCUCUGCUCUGCUUCUGUCAGCGAGAAGCUGGGAUGGUUCAGUGCCUUGCAAAGCGAGCUCAUCACAUCAGGCUGUUCACACUGCUCUGUAGAUAAGGCUCAGCUCAUCAGUCAAGAUGCCCUAAACGUUUCCUCAGAUCCCUG
Molecule: long non-coding RNA, 629 nt
Filed under: Pan troglodytes (chimpanzee)
Lineage: Eukaryota; Metazoa; Chordata; Mammalia; Primates; Hominidae
Description: long non-coding RNA NONPTRT009731
Source: RNAcentral